Dreissena polymorpha is the source of this 977-nucleotide long non-coding RNA. RefSeq lists it as uncharacterized. The record is from RefSeq and is a predicted model, not a curated record. The transcript has 3 exons. Lineage: Eukaryota; Metazoa; Mollusca; Bivalvia; Myida; Dreissenidae.
GUUACAAGAAAAGUUUGAAUGUUUUCAGUCUUUGUUUUGUCGUUGUUUAUGACAUUGGUUUGAAAUAAGAUGCAUUGAUUAUAAACAGCCGCACAUGUAGAUGUGUAAGUGAGAGGAUUGAAGGAAGAGAUGUUCGAUUCCCUAAAUCGAUACCUAUAAAGGCUAUCCAUCACACAGAUUGUUUUGGAGUUGAUCAUACUGAUGUUACUCAACAUUAAAGAACCCCCGUUAAAACCUGAACUGUCGUCAACGUUUGGAAAAACACGUAGAGUUACAAAUGGCACCCAAAGGGUUCGUUGACAAGUCGAGUCUGCAGAGAGUCGGUGUAAAGGAGCGGAUCGUGUUCGUGAAACAGCUGUUGACAUUGUUAUAGUGCUAGCAAACAUUAGACCAGGAUUCAACCACUUCAGACGUUUCAUUCAGGGUCGCAGUUUUAAUUUUUUCUGAUUUGGACACAUCAGAAAUACAUACUUUUAAGUGCUUUUAAAUUAGUUUUAAACCAUUCUAGUGGAAGAAUAAUCAAUUGUGUAUUGAUCUUGAAAGUUCAUAGGUACGUUGAUCAUGACUGGCAGAUGACCCCUAUUGAUUUUCAGGUCACUAGGUCAAAGGCCAAGGUCACAGUGACUCGAAAUAGUAAAAUGGUUUCCGUGUGAUAACUCAAGAGUGCUUACGCCUAGGAUCAUGAAACUUCAUAGGUACAUUGAUCAUGACUGCCAAAUGACCUUUAUUGAUUUUCAGGUCACAAGGUCAAAGGUCAAGGUCACAGUUACUAAAACUUAUUCACACAAUGGCUGCCACUACAACUGACAGCCCAUAUGUGGGCAUGCAUGUUUUACAAACAGCCCUUGUUUUGAUGUUUGAAUUUAAGCAUUUGCUGGAACACUUAUUUCUAUUGAUGAGGCUGUGUUAUACCAUUUUUGCCUUAAAUUUGGAAUUAAAAAUGUGUUUAACUUAAAAAAUCUGUUUACAAUUUUGAA